This 114-nucleotide ribosomal RNA is filed under the name uncultured bacterium. RNAcentral's name for it is "partial 16S ribosomal RNA". It matches the Rfam family "Bacterial small subunit ribosomal RNA", at positions 1369 to 1482 of the family's 1533-position model. The record is from RNAcentral.
CGUUCCCGGGCCUUGUACACACCGCCCGUCACACCACGAGAGUUUGUAACACCCGGAGUCGGUGGGGUAACCGUAAGGAGCCAGCCGCCUAAGGUGGGACAGAUGAUUGGGGUG